This 434-nucleotide ribosomal RNA is filed under the name uncultured bacterium. RNAcentral's name for it is "partial 16S ribosomal RNA". It matches the Rfam family "Bacterial small subunit ribosomal RNA", at positions 29 to 507 of the family's 1533-position model. The record is from RNAcentral.
AGCGAACGCUGGCGGCAGGCCUAACACAUGCAAGUCGAACGAACCUUUCGGGGUUAGUGGCGGACGGGUGAGUAACACGUGGGAACGUGCCUUUAGGUUCGGAAUAACUCAGGGAAACUUGUGCUAAUACCGAAUGUGCCCUUCGGGGGAAAGAUUUAUCGCCUUUAGUGCGGCCCGCGUCUGAUUAGCUAGUUGGUUGAGUUAAUGGCUCACCAAGGCGACGAUCAGUAGCUGGUCUGAGAGGAGGAUCAGCGACAUUGGGACUGAGACACGGCCCAAAAUCCUACGGGAGGGAGCAGUGGGGAAUCUUGCGAAAUGGGCGAAAGCCUGACGCAGCCAUGCCGCGUGAAUGAUGAAGGUCUUAGGAUUGUAAAAUUCUUUCAACGGGGACGAUAAUGACGGUACCCGGAGAAGAAGCCCCGGCUAACUUCGUG